GAUGAACGCUGGUGGCGUGCUUAACACAUGCAAGUCGAACGGGAAACCUUUUAUUGAAGCUUCGGCAGAUUUAGCUAGUUUCUAGUGGCGGACGGGUGAGUAACGCGUGGGUAACCUGCCUUAUACAGGGGGAUAACAACCAGAAAUGGUUGCUAAUACCGCAUAAGCGCACAGGACCGCAUGGUCCGGUGUGAAAAACUCCGGUGGUAUAAGAUGGACCCGCGUUGGAUUAGCUAGUUGGCAGGGUAACGGCCUACCAAGGCGACGAUCCAUAGCCGGCCUGAGAGGGUGAACGGCCACAUUGGGACUGAGACACGGCCCAGACUCCUACGGGAGGCAGCAGUGGGGAAUAUUGCACAAUGGGGGAAACCCUGAUGCAGCGACGCCGCGUGAAGGAAGAAGUAUCUCGGUAUGUAAACUUCUAUCAGCAGGGAAGAUAGUGACGGUACCUGACGAAGAAGCCCCGGCUAACUACGUG
RNAcentral lists this ribosomal RNA (478 nucleotides) under uncultured bacterium. Its description in RNAcentral is "partial 16S ribosomal RNA". It matches the Rfam family "Bacterial small subunit ribosomal RNA", at positions 28 to 507 of the family's 1533-position model. The record is from RNAcentral.